RNAcentral lists this ribosomal RNA (431 nucleotides) under uncultured bacterium. RNAcentral's name for it is "partial 16S ribosomal RNA". It matches the Rfam family "Bacterial small subunit ribosomal RNA", at positions 29 to 507 of the family's 1533-position model. The record is from RNAcentral.
AACGAACGCUGGCGGCAGGCCUAACACAUGCAAGUCGAGCGCCCCGCAAGGGGAGCGGCGGACGGGUGAGUAACGCGUGGGAAUAUGCCCUUUGCUACGGAAUAGUCUCGGGAAACUGGGGGUAAUACCGUAUACGCCCUUUGGGGGAAAGAUUUAUCGGCGAAGGAUUAGCCCGCGUUGGAUUAGGUAGUUGGUGGGGUAAUGGCCUACCAAGCCGACGAUCCAUAGCUGGUUUGAGAGGAUGAUCAGCCACACUGGGACUGAGACACGGCCCAGACUCCUACGGGAGGCAGCAGUGGGGAAUCUUAGACAAUGGGGGCAACCCUGAUCUAGCCAUGCCGCGUGAGUGAUGAAGGCCUUAGGGUUGUAAAGCUCUUUCAGCUGGGAAGAUAAUGACGGUACCAGCAGAAGAAGCCCCGGCUAACUGCGUG